RNAcentral lists this ribosomal RNA (253 nucleotides) under uncultured bacterium. Its description in RNAcentral is "partial 16S ribosomal RNA". It matches the Rfam family "Bacterial small subunit ribosomal RNA", at positions 524 to 776 of the family's 1533-position model. The record is from RNAcentral.
UACGUAGGGCGCAAGCGUUGUCCGGAAUUAUUGGGCGUAAAGAGCUCGUAGGCGGUUUGUCGCGUCUGCUGUGAAAACCUAAGGCUCAACCUUGGGCUUGCAGUGGGUACGGGCAGACUAGAGUGCGGUAGGGGUGACUGGAAUUCCAGGUGUAGCGGUGGAAUGCGCAGAUAUCAGGAGGAACACCGAUGGCGAAGGCAGGUCACUGGGCCGCAACUGACGCUGAGGAGCGAAAGCAUGGGGAGCGAACAGG